UACGGAGGGUGCAAGCGUUGUUCGGAAUCACUGGGCGUAAAGGGCGCGCAGGCGGUUUGAAUAGUCAGAUGUGAAAGCCCACGGCUUAACCGUGGAAGUGCAUUUGAAACUGUCAGACUUGAGUGCGGAAGAGGGAAGUGGAAUUCCAUGUGUAGCGGUGAAAUGCGUAGAGAUAUGGAGGAACACCAGUUGCGAAGGCGGCUCUCUGGACUGUAACUGACACUGAGGCACGAAAGCGUGGGGAGCAAACAGGAUUAGA
This 259-nucleotide ribosomal RNA is filed under the name uncultured prokaryote. RNAcentral describes it as "partial 16S ribosomal RNA". It matches the Rfam family "Bacterial small subunit ribosomal RNA", at positions 524 to 782 of the family's 1533-position model. The record is from RNAcentral.